Molecule: ribosomal RNA, 794 nt
Filed under: uncultured bacterium
Lineage: Bacteria
Description: bacterial SSU rRNA
Rfam family: Bacterial small subunit ribosomal RNA
Source: RNAcentral
GUAAGGCUGAGCAUGACUUGCAUGUCAGUCGGACGGCCGCGCUUCCUUCUGCCUGGCAGUGAGUGACGAAUGAGUGAUACAUCCAUCCGAGCCCGGCCUGGCGGGAGGGAUAACUAGACGAAAGAUUAAUUAAUACCACAAACUACCUGUGGGUGAAAGCGACCGACCGGCCUGCCUCGCUCGAUACGACCGAUCUAUGAUUGAUUAGCUGGUGGGGGGGGUGAAUGCCUACGAAAGCAACAAUCACUGGUUGGACUGAAAGAACAAUCACCCUGGCUGUGACUGACACACCGCACUCACUCCUACGGCAGGCAUGGGUGAUUAAUUUUGAAGAAUGCGACCCACCCUGAUCCAUGCCUGCCGCGUGAGUAAAGAAUGCCUUCUGGUUGUAAAUUUUUUUUGUCCAGAAAUAAACGUGCCUGGUUACUACCCGCGAUCAAUGACCCGACCGAAAAAAUACCCACCAACUACCUGCCUGCCACCACCCUAAUACAUACGUAGGGAGCGAUCGUCAAUCUUACUGACUGGAAGUAAAGCGCGCGCAGGUUGAUAGAAAAGACAGGAAAUACCUCCCCUCACUCUGCCUGUGAAUGUUGCUAGUGACUGGCUAGAUUGAGUGCGACGGAGGUAGAUAGACACCCGCGUGAAUCAGAUACAUGCAUAUAUAUAUGAAUGCCUAUGGAUAGCGAAGGCCCCCCCACGUGCCUGACUGUCGCGCAUGCACGCGAGCGUGAGCAACAGCAUAAAUACAUAGCUGUCCUCCCCGCCCCAACUAUCUUACUGUUGGUUAUGCU